CAAUAUAUGUAAUAUGACAUAAUAUAUAUAUAGACAUGAGACAUCGAUGAUUCAGUGAUCAAUUUACACCUAUUUUUGGACAGCCUGAAUGACAGGGCGUCCAACUUCAAGUGCCGUAUAUUUGGUAGGCAUGGUAGACACCGGGAAUCCGUAUGCUGCAUCACACCAACACUUGUAAGUUGGUCUGUUCUGAUUAAGCACAUAUAUCCUUCUUUUGUGCUGUCCUUAUGCAUUUGUCAAUGCUAAUUAAGUAUUAAGUAAUGUCUCAUCAACUCUCUCAUCAGUUUCAAUAUGACAUUUUUCUCCUUGAUUUGUCUGCAUGCAGCACUGGUGAUAGGUCCAUGCUGGUUCACUUGUGGUCACAUACUUUCGAUUCAUGGCAAUUCGAUAGUACGGCAACCUGCUGAAAGAGGUAGGAUGCCAGGGGAAAGGGGAAGAGGUGGCGGAGCAGUGAAACACAGAGGAUACUAUUUGUGCCGCUGCUGAAGGAUGCAACUAUCGACAUUACCUAUGCUUGCAAACAAAUCUGUGCAUAAAGACACUUCCCUAUAGCUGUCAAUGCGUAUUCUAAAUUAGUACGACAGAAAUGCUUUUUGAGGCAGUUGGGACUGGUCUUUGCAAGCAGGGGUUUCAGCAGCUUCAUCGAGCAACCCCAUGAAAUUAAAUCAAUUAUUUUCACGGGUAUAGAUCCAACCGCCUUUAAAUAUAUAUUUUUGCGGGUAGUCGGUGCCAUUCACUGCCUGGAGUUAUAAUUUUCCAUGACAACAAAUCCAAAGAAAUCGCAAUUCAAAAAAAAAAAUAGUCUAAUCGCCAUCCAGUGUCAGUCGCCGGCUCAUAGUCGUCACUACCUCCACUGGAUCCGGCCUCCACAUGGUCCUCGGAUUCGGCCGCCGUUAUCGUCUCCACCUGUUGGACCCCAUGCAACUCGCUACCGUAGUUGUCGUCGCCAUCACUGCUAGAUUCGGCCUCCCUGGGGUUGCCAUCACUGGAUCCAUUCUCUAUGGGUGCGCCAAGCCACCAUGUGUUGCUCGUUGCCGCCUCUACCGAAUCCCUAUGCCUUCAUUGUUGUCCCUACUGGAUCCCUGCGUCACGGUCAUGAAGCUACCGUGCGCCACUUGGCACCAUCGUCGUCGCCACCAUCACCUAGCCAAUGCGUGCCGCUAGUGAGAGAGACAUAAUGGGGAAGAAGUGAGAGGAGUAUGUAGAGAAGUGAGAGAGAGUGGACGAGAGGGGGAUAGGGAGUUGAUGGUCAAUCCUAUCUCUUUCUCACAGAUUAUAGACGGGCUUACUUUAUGCCCCACAUUAAAAAAAUAAAUUUUGCAAGCAGCCUAUAAGGAGGCCUCAUGCAAAAAUAAGUUGGUAGUGCAUAAUUUAAUAGUUGUUUACAUUAAUUUUUGCAAACGACCGAUGAUUACCAAUAUUUAUACUCCUAUAAAAAGGAGUAGUGGUGGUGGUAGAUUCACAUUAAAUCUACCACCACCACCUAAUCUCACUAUAGUUUUACAAUUUAGUCCUCAAAUUUCUUGAUAUUAAAAACCAGUUAAAUAUAGAUUGAUAUCUACAUAUAAAUUCAGAUUAAAAUGACUAUUUCAUAUAAGAAAAUUUAAUAACACAUCAUAAUAUCCGUAGCAAAGCAUGGGUAUUUAACUAGUAUGUAAUAAAUAUUUAUACUGCAAAGUAUAAAUAUGCAACACAAUUGUUGGAAAAAAAAUUGCAUUUCUCGAUUGAUUACCAAUAUAUGUAACAUGACAUAAUAUUUAUAUAGACAUGAGACAUCAAUGAUUCAGUGAUCAAUUUGCAUCUAUUUGGACAGCCUGAAUGACAGGGCAUCCAACUUCAGGUGCUGUAUAUUUGGUAGGCAUGGCCGUAUGCUGCAUCACCAACACUUGUAAGUUGCUAAUCUCUAUCUGUUAUGAUUACGCACAUAUAUUCUUCUUCAGUGCUGCCCUUAUGCAUUUGUCAGUGUUAAUUAAGUAUUAAGUAAUGUCUCAUCAACUCCCUCAUCAGUUUCAAUAUGACAUUUUCCACCUUGAUUUGUCUGCAUGCAGCACUGGUGAUAGGUCCAUGCUGGUUCACUUAUGGUCACAUACAUUCAGUUCAUGGCGAUUUGACAGUAAGGCAUCGUGACGAAAGAGGAAGGAUGGUAGAGGGAAAGGGGAAGAGGCGGCGGAGCAGUGAAACGGCAAAGAUCCCCCUAGUGCCACUUCUGAAGGAUACUGCCAUGGACAUUAUCUAUGCCUGCAAACAGAUUUGUGCAUGAAGACACUUCCCUAUCAGCUGCCAAUGCAAACAAAUCAAUGGGAUUCUAGCAGCCUCAAAACAACCCCAUGAAAAUCAGUUGUCUUUAAAUAUGCAUUUCUGCAGGCAAUUCGUGCCAUUCACCGUCUAUAGUUAUAAUUUUCCAUGACAAAAAAUCCAGAAAAAUCACAAUUCAAAAAAAAAAUCAUCUAAUCCCCCAUCCUAGCAUCGGUCACUGACUUAGAGUCAUCACCAUCUCCACUGGAUCUAGCCUCCCACGGUCUCGGGCUAGAUCCGGCCGUUGGCCACUGUCGUUGUCGUCGUCAUCUCUCCUAGAUUCGGCCUCCAUGGGGUUGCCAUCGCUGGAUCCGGCCUCUGCGGGUGCGCCAAGCCACCACGUGCUGCUCGUUGCCGCCUCUACCGAAUCCCUAUGCCUUCAUUGAUGUCCCUACCGGAUCCCUACGCUGCGGUCAUGGAGCUGCUGAGCGCCACUCGCAUGACUGCCAUCAUCAUCACCGCCAUCACCUAGCCACUGCGCCCCACUUAUAAGAGAGGCAUAAUGGAUGGGAGGUGAGAAGAGUACAUGGAGAGGUGAGAGAGAGAUGGACGAUAGGGGAUAGGGAGGUGACGGUCAAUCUUUUCCUCAUAAAUGACAGAUGGGCUUACUUUAUGUCCCACAUUUAAAAAUAAAUUUUACAAGCAGCCUAUAAAGAGGUCAUAUGCAAAAAUAGUUGGCAGUGCAUGAUUUGAUAGCUGUGAUUCACUUGCAUGCAGUUCUCACGCCUAGUCAUCAGCACAAAAAAAAUCAUUUUUGAUGUAGUGCACGCAUGACCAACAAUGUCUCCAUGGUUGCAUGUACAAGAAGCAACCCGAAGCAUGUCCCUGAAGACACUUCCUUAUCAGCUGCCAUGUCAGCAAAUGAGCAAAAUUAUUAGAAGAUGAUUGACAUGAACAAGCUUUCUUUUCGCACCGUUUUGUAAUUUUUCUUCUCCUUUUGUUGUCAAUUUCAUAAUACUCUAUAGGGAGGGUAAAGGGGUAAUAGUUCAGGGUUCAAUUGCUAGCAUUUAUGAUUUUGAAACGGCUAGAAAAAAAACUGCGAGAAUAUAGCUGGAUAAAUACUGAGCAACAACUCCUGGGCA
Molecule: long non-coding RNA, 3377 nt
Filed under: Oryza brachyantha (malo sina)
Lineage: Eukaryota; Viridiplantae; Streptophyta; Magnoliopsida; Poales; Poaceae
Description: long non-coding RNA (OBRA_LNC003002)
Source: RNAcentral